AACGAACGCUGGCGGCAUGCCUAACACAUGCAAGUCGAACGAGACCUUCGGGUCUAGUGGCGCACGGGUGCGUAACGCGUGGGAACCUGCCUUUAGGUUCGGAAUAACUCAGAGAAAUUUGAGCUAAUACCGGAUGAUGUCUUCGGACCAAAGAUUUAUCGCCUUUAGAUGGGCCCGCGUUGGAUUAGCUAGUUGGUGGGGUAAAGGCCUACCAAGGCGACGAUCCAUAGCUGGUCUGAGAGGAUGAUCAGCCACACUGGGACUGAGACACGGCCCAGACUCCUACGGGAGGCAGCAGUGGGGAAUAUUGGACAACGGGCGAAAGCCUGAUCCAGCAAUGCCGCGUGAGUGAUGAAGGCCUUAGGGUUGUAAAGCUCUUUUACCCGAGAUGAUAAUGACAGUAUCGGGAGAAUAAGCUCCGGCUAACUCCGUG
This 433-nucleotide ribosomal RNA is filed under the name uncultured bacterium. RNAcentral describes it as "partial 16S ribosomal RNA". It matches the Rfam family "Bacterial small subunit ribosomal RNA", at positions 29 to 507 of the family's 1533-position model. The record is from RNAcentral.